This 482-nucleotide ribosomal RNA is filed under the name Fusarium oxysporum. RNAcentral describes it as "eukaryotic LSU rRNA". The stretch from base 118 to 271 matches the Rfam family "5.8S ribosomal RNA". Lineage: Eukaryota; Fungi; Ascomycota; Sordariomycetes; Hypocreales; Nectriaceae. The record is from RNAcentral.
AUACCACUUGUUGCCUCGGCGGAUCAGCCCGCUCCCGGUAAAACGGGACGGCCCGCCAGAGGACCCCUAAACUCUGUUUCUAUAUGUAACUUCUGAGUAAAACCAUAAAUAAAUCAAAACUUUCAACAACGGAUCUCUUGGUUCUGGCAUCGAUGAAGAACGCAGCAAAAUGCGAUAAGUAAUGUGAAUUGCAGAAUUCAGUGAAUCAUCGAAUCUUUGAACGCACAUUGCGCCCGCCAGUAUUCUGGCGGGCAUGCCUGUUCGAGCGUCAUUUCAACCCUCAAGCACAGCUUGGUGUUGGGACUCGCGUUAAUUCGCGUUCCUCAAAUUGAUUGGCGGUCACGUCGAGCUUCCAUAGCGUAGUAGUAAAACCCUCGUUACUGGUAAUCGUCGCGGCCACGCCGUUAAACCCCAACUUCUGAAUGUUGACCUCGGAUCAGGUAGGAAUACCCGCUGAACUUAAGCAUAUCAAUAAGCGGAGG